This 451-nucleotide ribosomal RNA is filed under the name uncultured Microbacterium sp. Its description in RNAcentral is "bacterial SSU rRNA". It matches the Rfam family "Bacterial small subunit ribosomal RNA", at positions 635 to 1085 of the family's 1533-position model. Lineage: Bacteria; Bacillati; Actinomycetota; Actinomycetes; Micrococcales; Microbacteriaceae. The record is from RNAcentral.
GGCAGACUAGAGUGCGGUUAGGGGAGAUUGGAAUUCCUGGUGUAGCGGUGGAAUGCGCAGAUAUCAGGAGGACACAGAUGGCGAAGGCAGAUCUCUGGGCCGUACUGACGCUGAGGAGCGAAAGGGUGGGGAGCAAACAGGCUUAGAUACCCUGGUAGUCCACCCCGUAAACGUUGGGAACUAGUUGUGGGGUCCAUUCCACGGAUUCCGUGACGCAGCUAACGCAUUAAGUUCCCCGCCUGGGGGAGUACGGCCGCAAGGCUAAACUCAAAGGAAUUGACGGGGACCCGCACAAGCGGCGGAGCAUGCGGAUUAAUUCGAUGCAACGCGAAGAACCUUACCAAGGCUUGACAUAUACGAGAACGGGCCAGAAAUGGUCAACUCUUUGGACACUCGUAAACAGGUGGUGCAUGGUUGUCGUCAGCUCGUGUCGUGAGAUGUUGGGUUAAGU